RNAcentral lists this ribosomal RNA (293 nucleotides) under Aeromonas sp. Prich7-2. RNAcentral's name for it is "partial 16S ribosomal RNA". It matches the Rfam family "Bacterial small subunit ribosomal RNA", at positions 327 to 612 of the family's 1533-position model. The record is from RNAcentral. Lineage: Bacteria; Pseudomonadati; Pseudomonadota; Gammaproteobacteria; Aeromonadales; Aeromonadaceae.
CGGUCCAGACUCCUACGGGAGGCAGCAGUGGGGAAUAUUGCACAAUGGGGGAAACCCUGAUGCAGCCAUGCCGCGUGUGUGAAGAAGGCCUUCGGGUUGUAAAGCACUUUCAGCGAGGAGGAAAGGUCAGUAGCUAAUAUCUGCUGACUGUGACGUUACUCGCAGAAGAAGCACCGGCUAACUCCGUGCCAGCAGCCGCGGUAAUACGGAGGGUGCAAGCGUUAAUCGGAAUUACUGGGCGUAAAGCGCACGCAGGCGGUUGGAUAAGUUAGAUGUGAAAGCCCCGGGCUCAA